GGGGGCGAUCUUGGUUUCGACAGGGGUUGCAAAGCAGAAGAGGGCAUACCGGGGUCUCAGAUGCCCGUAAAACACUGAAUACAUAUAGUCGCAAACGACGAA
RNAcentral lists this transfer-messenger RNA (102 nucleotides) under Neisseriaceae bacterium. RNAcentral's name for it is "partial transfer-messenger RNA". It matches the Rfam family "transfer-messenger RNA", at positions 1 to 104 of the family's 374-position model. From Rfam's summary of the family: Bacterial tmRNA, also known as 10Sa RNA or SsrA, is named for its dual tRNA and mRNA-like properties. Its role is to liberate the mRNA from a stalled ribosome. To accomplish this part of the tmRNA is used as a reading frame that ends in a translation stop signal. Lineage: Bacteria; Pseudomonadati; Pseudomonadota; Betaproteobacteria; Neisseriales; Neisseriaceae. The record is from RNAcentral.